RNAcentral lists this ribosomal RNA (1488 nucleotides) under uncultured bacterium. RNAcentral's name for it is "bacterial SSU rRNA". It matches the Rfam family "Bacterial small subunit ribosomal RNA". The record is from RNAcentral.
AGAGUUUGAUCCAUGGCUCAGGAUGAACGCUGGCGGCGUGCUUAACACAUGCAAGUCGAACGAUGAAGCCCAGCUUGCUGGGUGGAUUAGUGGCGAACGGGUGAGUAACACGUGAGUAACCUGCCCUUGACUCUGGGAUAAGCCUGGGAAACUGGGUCUAAUACCGGAUAGGAACGUCCACCGCAUGGUGGUUGUUGGAAAGAUUUAUCGGUCAUGGAUGGACUCGCGGCCUAUCAGCUUGUUGGUGGGGUAAUGGCUCACCAAGGCGACGACGGGUAGCCGGCCUGAGAGGGUGACCGGCCACACUGGGACUGAGACACGGCCCAGACUCCUACGGGAGGCAGCAGUGGGGAAUAUUGCACAAUGGGCGAAAGCCUGAUGCAGCGACGCCGCGUGAGGGAUGACGGCCUUCGGGUUGUAAACCUCUUUCAGUAGGGAAGAAGCGAAAGUGACGGUACCUGCAGAAGAAGCACCGGCUAACUACGUGCCAGCAGCCGCGGUAAUACGUAGGGUGCGAGCGUUAUCCGGAAUUAUUGGGCGUAAAGAGCUCGUAGGCGGUUUGUCGCGUCUGUCGUGAAAGUCCGGGGCUUAACCCCGGAUCUGCGGUGGGUACGGGCAGACUAGAGUGCAGUAGGGGAGACUGGAAUUCCUGGUGUAGCGGUGGGAAUGCGCAGAUAUCAGGAGGAACACCGAUGGCGAAGGCAGGUCUCUGGGCUGUAACUGACGCUGAGGAGCGAAAGCAUGGGGAGCGAACAGGAUUAGAUACCCUGGUAGUCAUGCCGUAAACGUUGGGCACUAGGUGUGGGGACCAUUCCACGGUUUCCGCGCCGCAGCUAACGCAUUAAGUGCCCCGCCUGGGGAGUACGGCCGCAAGGCUAAAACUCAAAGGAAUUGACGGGGGCCCGCACAAGCGGCGGAGCAUGCGGAUUAAUUCGAUGCAACGCGAAGAACCUUACCAAGGCUUGACAUGUUCUCGAUCGCCGUAGAGAUACGGUUUCCCCUUUGGGGCGGGAUCACAGGUGGUGCAUGGUUGUCGUCAGCUCGUGUCGUGAGAUGUUGGGUUAAGUCCCGCAACGAGCGCAACCCUCGUUCCAUGUUGCCAGCACGUCAUGGUGGGGACUCAUGGGAGACUGCCGGGGUCAACUCGGAGGAAGGUGGGGACGACGUCAAAUCAUCAUGCCCCUUAUGUCUUGGGCUUCACGCAUGCUACAAUGGCCGGUACAAUGGGUUGCGAUACUGUGAGGUGGAGCUAAUCCCAAAAAGCCGGUCUCAGUUCGGAUUGGGGUCUGCAACUCGACCCCAUGAAGUCGGAGUCGCUAGUAAUCGCAGAUCAGCAACGCUGCGGUGAAUACGUUCCCGGGCCUUGUACACACCGCCCGUCAAGUCACGAAAGUCGGUAACACCCGAAGCCGGUGGCCUAACCCUUGUGGGGGGGGCCGUCGAAGGUGGGACCAGCGAUUGGGACUAAGUCGUAUCAAGGUAGCCGUA